RNAcentral lists this ribosomal RNA (512 nucleotides) under uncultured bacterium. RNAcentral's name for it is "partial 16S ribosomal RNA". The record is from RNAcentral.
GGAGUUAGCCGGUGCUUCUUCUGCGAGUAACGUCACAGAUGUAAGGUAUUAACUUACACCCUUUCCUCCUCGCUGAAAGUGCUUUACAACCCGAAGGCCUUCUUCACACACGCGGCAUGGCUGCAUCAGGGUUUCCCCCAUUGUGCAAUAUUCCCCACCUGCUGCCUCCCGUAGGAGUCUGGGCCGUGUCUCAGUCCCAGUGUGGCUGAUCAUCCUCUCAGACCAGCUAGGGAUCGUCGCCUAGGUGAGCCUUUACCUCACCUACUAGCUAAUCCCACCUGGGCUUAUCCAUCAGCGCAAGGCCCGAAGGUCCCCUGCUUUCCCCCGUAGGGCGUAUGCGGUAUUAGCAGUCGUUUCCAACUGUUAUCCCCCACAAAUGGGCAAAUUCCCAGGCAUUACUCACCCGUCCGCCGCUCGUCAUCUUCAAAAGCAAGCUUUUGAAAUGUUACCGCUCGACUUGCAUGUGUUAGGCCUGCCGCCAGCGUUCAAUCUGAGCCAGAAUCAAACUCUGA